AUGUUCUUGUUGCUUCCUUUCCACACAACCCUUUCCUCCCCUUCACUUUUCCCCCCUCUCAGUGAAGAAAAGCUCUCGUCGAAUCUGUUUCUCUCCCCCCUUCACCUCCUCCUCCUUUCCGUGUUUCAGUAUCUUCUUCUUGAGGGGGACGUUUCUUGUGGUUGUUGCUGCUUCCUUUCCUUUCCACAAAACCCCUUCCUCCCCUUCACUUCGCGAAGGGGACAAAAAGGGUCUCUUCUUCUGCCUCCUCUCCGUGUUUCAGUCUCUUAUUCUUGUUGUGUUUACCGUUUAUUGUAUCCUUUCCACAACUCACUCCAGUUGUGUAGAAGGGGUGAGAAGCUCUCGUCCAGUCUCAAUUUCUGCGUGUUUCAGUCUCUUCUUCUUGGGGGGACGUUUCUUGUGAUUGUUGCUGCUUCUUUUCCACAAGACCCCUUCCUCCCCUUCACUUUUCCCCUCUCAGUCGAGAAGGGGACAAAAAAAGGAUAUCUUCUUCUGCCUGAUUAUAUCCUUCUUCUCUUCCUCCUCCUUUCCGUGUUUCAGUAUCUUCUUUUUCUUGUGUUCGUCGUAGUUUGUUGUAUCCUUUCCACAACUCACUCCAGUUGUGAAGAAGGGGAGAAAAUGUCUCGUCGGGUCUCAAAUCUCUCAGACUUUCCUCUGCGUGCUUCAGUCCCUUCUCCUCCUCCUCCUCCUCCUCUCCGUGUUUCAGCCUCUUCCUUCUUGGGUUUGUCGUUGUUUGUUGUAUCCUUUCCACAACUCACUCCAGUUGUGAAGAAGGGGAGAAAAGGUCUCGUCGGGUCUCAAAUCUCUCAGACUUUCCUCUGCGUGCUUCAGUCCCUUCUCCUCCUCCUCCUUUCCGUGUUUCAGCCUCUUCCUCCUUGUGUUUGUCGUUGUUUGUUGUAUCCUUUCCACAACUCACUCCCGUUGUGAAGAAGGAGAGAAAAGGUCUCGUCGAGUUUCAGAUCUCGUUUCAGCCUCUUCCUUCUUGCGUUUGUCGUUUUGUUGUAUCCUUCCCACAACUCACUCCAGUUGUGAAGAGGAGGGGAAAAGGUCUCGACAAGUCUCAAUCUCUUCUUUGCGGUGUUGUUUUUUCCCCCCCUUGUUGUAUCCUUUCCAGUUGCGAAGGGGUCUCGUCGAGCCUCUCCUCUGCUUCCUCCUCCUCCUUUCUCUUUCCGCCCUGACAAAAUAUGCGGUUUCAGGUGCCUCAAACGCCGCCCAGCCCGGGCUGAGGAGUCAUUUCCUGCCCCUCAGGAAACCCAACAGAGGCCUGCUUGCUUUCCCCGGCCUCUUUGAGGGCCCAAACUCUCCUUCCUUCCUUCCCUCACGAGGCCGGGCCUUGGAUGCUGGCGUCGCCUCCUUCGAAGGGAAACCGAGAUGGAGGCGCAACAAGCCCCUUCCUUCCUUCCCUUCUCUCCUUCCUCCUCCUCCUUUUCCUUUCUUCCCUCGCUUCCUCUGCCUCACACUCGGCUCCUCCUCCUCACACUUCCCCCUUCCUUCCUUCUAUCCCCAUUAUUCCCGCCCUCAGCAGCUCUCUCUGUCUCUCUGUGUGAGGUGUUUCUCUCAAAGAGGAAGGAAGCAGCAACAGCGGCCCACACUCCAGGCGGCGGGCGUUACUACUACUACUACUACGCCGCUUUUGCGCCUCCGCCCAGGCCAAAGAGAGAGAGAGAGAGAGAGAGAGAGAGAGAGAGAGAGAGAGAGAGAGAGAGAGACUGCAGCGCCGCCCAGGACGGAGAGGCCUUUCCUCCCUCCUUCUCUCCUCUGCCUCCCUUUUCAGACUUUUUUUUCCCCCUCAGAGCCAGACAACAAGUCUGGCAAUGGGCGAAGCGCCUCAGCCAAUCCGGACAGAGGAGCUUCCCGCCUCAGCCAAUCAGGGGGCGCGCUCAAGGUUUGGCCGGGAAGGAAGGGAGGAAAGAGAAGCAGGGUAGGGUGUGAGGAAUAAGAAAAAAAUAAUAAUUUUAUAUGUAAGGUAGGUGGGAGGGAGGAAGCGAGAGGAAAGGCUUUUCGGUCUCUUAGGUUUGGGGAGGAAAUAGUAAUCAAAAGAAUUGGAAUACAGGACAAGUCAAAAGAGGAGUAUCAAUCCUUAAGGGAGAGGAUAAGAAAGGGAAGAGGGUUUCAAUGUUUGGAUAAAGGAGAGGGAAACAGAAAGAUGUGUAUCUGAUAUAGCAGGCCCUCUAGUGUUUUGGACUCCAACUCCCACAAUUCCCAACAGCCGUAGUUUUGGACCUCCCACCUCCCCACCAUUCCCAACAACGUGUAGUUUUGGACUCCCAACUCCCACAAUUCCCACCAGCCGGUAGUUUUGGACUCCCAACUCCCACAAUUCCCAACAGCCAGUAGUUUUGGACUCCAACUCCCACCAUUCCCAACAACCUGUAGUUUUGGACUCCAACUCCCACCAUUCCCAACAGCUGUCGUUUUGGACUCCAGCUCCCACAAUUCCCAACAGCUGGUAGUUUUGGACUCCAACUCCCACAAUUCCCAACAGCUGUAGUUUUGGACUCCAACUCCCACAAUUCCCAACAACUGUAGUUUUGGACUCCAACUCCCACCAUUCCCAACAACCUGUAGUUUUGGACUCCAACUCCAACCAUUCCCACCCCCUAGUAGUUUUGGACUCCCAACUCCCACCAUUCCCAACAACUGUAGUUUUGGACUCCAACUCCCACCAUUCCCAACAACCUGUAGUUUUGGACUCCAACUCCCACCAUUCCCAACAGCUGGUAGUCUUGGACUCCAACUCCCACCAUUCCCAACAGCUGUAGUUUU
Molecule: long non-coding RNA, 2766 nt
Organism: Anolis carolinensis (green anole)
Lineage: Eukaryota; Metazoa; Chordata; Lepidosauria; Squamata; Anolidae
Source: Ensembl